AUACGUAGGGGGCGAGCGUUGUCCGGAAUGAUUGGGCGUAAAGGGCGCGUAGGCGGCCUGUUAAGUCUGGAGUGAAAGUCCUGUUUUCAAGAUGGGAAUUGCUUUGGAUACUGAUGGGCUUGAGUGCAGGAGAGGUAUCGGAAUUCCUGGUGGAGCGGUAAAAUGCGUAGAGAUCAGGAGGAACACCGGUGGCGAAGGCGACUUUCUGGCUGACAACUGACGCUGAGGCGCGAAAGCGUGGGGAGCGAACAGGAUUAGAUACCCUGGUAGUCCACGCUGUAAACGAUGAUUACUAGGUGUAGGGGGUAUCGACUCCCUCUGUGCCGCAGUUAACGCAGUAAGUAAUCCACCUGGGGAGUACGGUCGCAAGAUUAAAACUCAAAUGAAUUGACGGGG
This 396-nucleotide ribosomal RNA is filed under the name uncultured bacterium. RNAcentral describes it as "partial 16S ribosomal RNA". It matches the Rfam family "Bacterial small subunit ribosomal RNA", at positions 523 to 918 of the family's 1533-position model. The record is from RNAcentral.